ACGUAGGGUGCGAGCGUUAAUCGGAAUUACUGGGCGUAAAGCGUGCGCAGGCGGUUAUAUAAGACAGAUGUGAAAUCCCCGGGCUUAACCUGGGAACUGCGUUUGUGACUGUAUAACUCGAGUGUGGCAGAGGGGGGUGGAAUUCCACGUGUAGCAGUGAAAUGCGUAGAGAUGUGGAGGAACACCGAUGGCGAAGGCAGCCCCCUGGGUCAACACUGACGCUCAUGCACGAAAGCGUGGGGAGCAAACAGGAUUAGAUACCCUGGUAGUCCACGCCCUAAACGAUGCGAACUAGGUGUUGGGGAAGGAGACUUUCUUAGUACCGCAGCUAACGCGUGAAGUUCGCCGCCUGGGGAGUACGGUCGCAAGAUUA
RNAcentral lists this ribosomal RNA (373 nucleotides) under uncultured bacterium. RNAcentral describes it as "bacterial SSU rRNA". It matches the Rfam family "Bacterial small subunit ribosomal RNA", at positions 525 to 896 of the family's 1533-position model. The record is from RNAcentral.